AGGGCACCACCAGGAGUGGAGCCUGCGGCUUAAUUUGACUCAACACGGGAAAACUCACCCGGCCCGGACACUGGAAGGAUUGACAGAUUGAGAGCUCUUUCUUGAUUCAGUGGGUGGUGGUGCAUGGCCGUUCUUAGUUGGUGGAGUGAUUUGUCUGGUUAAUUCCAAUAACGAACGAGACUCUAGCCUACUAAAUAGAUAGUCGGCUUACAAACGUCGACUAGACUCCUUAGAGGGACAGGCGGUGAUUCAACCGCACGAAACAGAGCAAUAACAGGUCUGUGAUGCCCUUAGAUGUCCGGGGCCGCACGCGCGCUACACUGAAGUGAUCAGCGUGCUUUUUCAGCCUACUCUGUCAAGAGUGGGAAACCCAAUGAACCUUCUUCGUAAUUGGGAUAGGGGAUUGUAAUUAUUCCCCUUGAACGAGGAAUUCCCAGUAAGCGCAAGUCAUAAGCUCGCGUUGAUUACGUCCCUGCCCUUUGUACACACCGCCCGUCGCUACUACCGAUUGAAUGUUUU
This 519-nucleotide ribosomal RNA is filed under the name uncultured eukaryote. RNAcentral describes it as "SSU rRNA". It matches the Rfam family "Eukaryotic small subunit ribosomal RNA", at positions 1161 to 1699 of the family's 1831-position model. The record is from RNAcentral.